This 560-nucleotide small RNA is filed under the name Oryza sativa Japonica Group (Japanese rice). RNAcentral describes it as "sRNA Os07g0671450". Lineage: Eukaryota; Viridiplantae; Streptophyta; Magnoliopsida; Poales; Poaceae. The record is from RNAcentral.
UUCAGGAUCCUGUGGACUGAAAAAGCAGGCAAUGACCUUGGAGUUCAGCAGCUUCAGUGCAAGGCUAGAUUCGAUGCAUCUGGGUGUCUUGUACUGGUUAAUGGAGCUGCCAUGGCUAACCAAUAGAUCCAUCAGAGCAUCAAAUGCACCAGCUUCAACAAGCCGUAUCUCCAGAGGCCCUAUGGACCUGUCAUGGGCUCUGCAACGACGGUAGACGUAGUCCAGUGACUCCUCGACAGCAGCACAGCAGCUCUCGAGGAGCUGAGCGUCAAGAGGGGCCGGCCUUUCAUCGUGGGUGGACUUGAUCUCCCAGAACAGCACGUAGUGGCCAGGGACAGUGGAAAUAUCAGUGUAGCUAGUGUACUCCAGGAGGAGGUAAUUUUGGUUCUCCAGGAUUUUCUUAGCAGUGGUGACACUGUUGUGGAGAUCCUCCUCGUUGGUCUUGUCAGAAUCGAUGCUGAGGAUAACAUUUCUCCGGCAAAUGAAUUUGAACUGCGGAGCUCGGUUGUAGAAGCCUGUCACUUGAAGCACAUCACCAACCCUGUACCUGUAAAGACCUG